GCGCCGGUAGCUCAGUUGUCAGAGCAGUGGGACGUUACCCCACGGUCCCGGAUUCAAGUCCCGGCUGUUGCU
This is a non-coding RNA of Phthorimaea operculella (potato tuberworm), 72 nucleotides long. The record is from the annotation of a GenBank genome assembly. NCBI's taxonomy places the organism in Eukaryota, Metazoa, Arthropoda, Insecta, Lepidoptera, Gelechiidae.